RNAcentral lists this long non-coding RNA (1192 nucleotides) under Chloebia gouldiae (Gouldian finch). RNAcentral's name for it is "Erythrura gouldiae (Gouldian finch) lncRNA (ENSEGOG00005007492.1)". The record is from RNAcentral. Lineage: Eukaryota; Metazoa; Chordata; Aves; Passeriformes; Passeridae.
CGGCCCCGGCCCCGGCUCCGGCAGCGGCGGCGGCGGCGGGGCAGGGCGAGGCCGAGCCGGCGGCCACCCCCUACGUGGGGCUGCGGCGGCCGCUUGGCUACAAGCUGGCCAAGGCCACCAAGGAGCGGAUCUGGCGGGGGGAGUUCAUUGACCUGUUUUCCUUGCUCCACACAGAGCUGGCCCCCGAGCACGGCCCGCGCCCGGGGGACACGCUGGACCAGUGGGUCUCGGCCUUCCUGGUGUACGCCAGCGUGCUGUGCGAGAAGCACCCGGCGCGCUGCGGAGCCAUGUUCAAGUACCUGGACACCAUCCGCAAGCUGCACGCCACCUACGGGGGCACCUCCUGGAUGAACUACGAUGAGGAUUUCCGGCGGCGGGCGGCCAAGAACCCCUCACUGCCCUGGGGCGACGUCGACUUGGACCUGUGGAUGAAGUGGAUGGCGCCCCUCAAGUCGCUCGUCCCCAGGCGCCCGCGUGCUGAGAGCGAGAGACAGGCCUCGCCGGCCCAGCCGCCACCGCCGGGCCAGAGCCCCAAGCAGGAGGACAAAAGCCAGACCCCAUGAAAACAGAAGACCAGUUGGGAUGGGAGUCAGACUAAGUGGGUCAGCUGAGGAUUUCACUGGUGUGAGAAGAUGUAUGGCUGGUGUGAAUCAGCAAAGCUGGCCCUGCACUGCACUCAUCUGGCCCUCUGCCAGCAUCAGAGCUGUGCCUGCUUGAAAGCAAGAGGUCACCCUCAGUGCACUGCUGAAAUAUGCCUGCUGUUGGCAGGAGGGUCCCUACUGCAGAGCAGUGAAUUUCAACGCAGUCCUCAGGAGCAGCCUGGCAGCAGCUCAUGGGUAUGAAGGCACUUUGUCAUUCUCCUCAGGACGUGCUGAACAAAUCUUAGCCAAGCAAUGGAAAUGAGGCAUGUUUCCAAGUCUUGUCAGUGAGUUCCAGGGAAGUGCUUGCCAGUAACUCUGUGUGUGCUCCCACUCUGCCUUGCUAAGAGAUGUGUUUCAGCCUCUCCUGGAGAGGGAUGAACUUUUUCAGCUUGCAAAGUACCUGUAACUACUCUGGCUGAGCCUCAGACUGAUUUUUCAUCUCCUUAAACAAACCAAGAGAUUAAAAGAAAAAGCACUCUCAGUCUGUUUAAGCUGAAAUUUUGUUCUUCUGAAAAAAUAAAUAUUUCCUUUUAAGUAAAAAAAAUUCUAGA